AGAGUUUGAUUUUGGCUCAGGAUGAACGCUGGCGGCGUGCCUAACACAUGCAAGUCGAGCGAAGCGCUUUUCUUAGAUUCUUCGGAUGAAGAGGAUUGUGACUGAGCGGCGGACGGGUGAGUAACGCGUGGGUAACCUGCCUCAUACAGGGGGAUAACAGUUAGAAAUGACUGCUAAUACCGCAUAAGACCACAGCACCGCAUGGUGCAGGGGUAAAAACUCCGGUGGUAUGAGAUGGACCCGCGUCUGAUUAGCUAGUUGGUAAGGUAACGGCUUACCAAGGCGACGAUCAGUAGCCGACCUGAGAGGGUGACCGGCCACAUUGGGACUGAGACACGGCCCAAACUCCUACGGGAGGCAGCAGUGGGGAAUAUUGCACAAUGGGGGAAACCCUUAUGCAGCGACGCCGCGUGAGCGAAGAAGUAUUUCGGUAUGUAAAGCUCUAUCAGCAGGGAAGAAUUAGGACGGUACCUGACUAAGAAGCACCGGCUAAAUACGUGCCAGCAGCCGCGGUAAUACGUAUGGUGCAAGCGUUAUCCGGAUUUACUGGGUGUAAAGGGAGCGUAGACGGAUGGGCAAGUCUGAUGUGAAAACCCGGGGCUCAACCCCGGGACUGCAUUGGAAACUGUUCAUCUAGAGUGCUGGAGAGGUAAGUGGAAUUCCUAGUGUAGCGGUGAAAUGCGUAGAUAUUAGGAGGAACACCAGUGGCGAAGGCGGCUUACUGGACAGUAACUGACGUUGAGGCUCGAAAGCGUGGGGAGCAAACAAGAUUAGAUACCCUGGUAGUCCACGCCGUAAACGA
RNAcentral lists this ribosomal RNA (802 nucleotides) under uncultured bacterium. Its description in RNAcentral is "bacterial SSU rRNA". It matches the Rfam family "Bacterial small subunit ribosomal RNA", at positions 8 to 809 of the family's 1533-position model. The record is from RNAcentral.